RNAcentral lists this ribosomal RNA (497 nucleotides) under uncultured bacterium. RNAcentral describes it as "partial 16S ribosomal RNA". It matches the Rfam family "Bacterial small subunit ribosomal RNA", at positions 28 to 507 of the family's 1533-position model. The record is from RNAcentral.
GAUGAACGCUGGCGGCGUGCCUAAUACAUGCAAGUCGAGCGAACAGACGAGGAGCUUGCUCCUCUGACGUUAGCGGCGGACGGGUGAGUAACACGUGGAUAACCUACCUAUAAGACUGGGAUAACUUCGGGAAACCGGAGCUAAUACCGGAUAAUAUAUUGAACCGCAUGGUUCAGUAGUGAAAGACGGUUUUGCUGUCACUUAUAGAUGGAUCCGCGCCGCAUUAGCUAGUUGGUAAGGUAACGGCUUACCAAGGCAACGAUGCGUAGCCGACCUGAGAGGGUGAUCGGUCACACUGGAACUGAGACACGGUCCAGACUCCUACGGGAGGCAGCAGUAGGGAAUCUUCCGCAAUGGGCGAAAGCCUGACGGAGCAACGCCGCGUGAGUGAUGAAGGUCUUCGGAUCGUAAAACUCUGUUAUUAGGGAAGAACAAAUGUGUAAGUAACUAUGCACGUCUUGACGGUACCUAAUCAGAAAGCCACGGCUAACUACGUG